CAGCUAUCUGAAAGCACAACAUAAAAUUCGAUUAGGCGAGACAGAGCAGAGGGGUCAGCCAUGGGGGGUUGUCAACUUUCACCACUUUCCUGACCACCUCUCCAGACUGGAACGCUACAAAACGUUUGGAAUCUGCCUAUGCGCCAGCAAUCAAGCAUUCAGCAGUUUGGAGUGAGAAAGCAGCGAGGAUCAGAUUCUCUCACAGUACGUCCAUGUAACCCACCCCGACAAUGAUGGCUUGUAAUAAGGGCAUUGGGCUUUGCUGCCACAUUAUUUGAACAAGUGGAAGCUCAGCCUGGUGUGUAAUUAAUCCAGGGCUGAAUAAUGGAUUUCAGUUCCCAUGCCUGUAAGAGGAGACUGACCUGAACCAGCAAAACCUGUCACACCACCAAGAGUUCAAAACUCGAUUACUUUCUCAUGGAAGAUCGAGGCCUACUGGACAAAUAUCACACGGUCCAGUAUUUGACUAUUAUAUUUCUGCUAGUGUAUAUCUGAAACAUUCCUUGCGCAAGUUCAUCAGCCAAAUGGCACCACAGUAAUAAACUGUUUAUAUUAAAAAAUAGACUUCUUUCUCAGUGGUGCCAUUUAGGAAAGAUGGAAGACUACACCUGACUCUCUCUUAAAAGCACUAUAGUAAAGCAGAAUAUUCUUAAAAUUA
Long non-coding RNA from Podarcis muralis (Common wall lizard), 658 nucleotides. RefSeq lists it as uncharacterized. Lineage: Eukaryota; Metazoa; Chordata; Lepidosauria; Squamata; Lacertidae. The record is from RefSeq and is a predicted model, not a curated record.